Malus domestica (apple) is the source of this 1149-nucleotide RNA transcript. It is a transcript of the gene named protein FIP1-like, with no coding region annotated. NCBI's taxonomy places the organism in Eukaryota, Viridiplantae, Streptophyta, Magnoliopsida, Rosales, Rosaceae. The record is from RefSeq and is a predicted model, not a curated record.
UUCCGAGUCUGAGACUGAACUCUCCUUCCAAAACUGAAACUUGAAAGCAGAGAUCGCAGUUCGCAAAUACACAGAACCGAAAAUCCAUGUCUAAAAAUGUCAACAGAGAGAGAACGGCAAGGUUCUCUGCCGUCAACAUCGCCGGAGGACAACGCACUGUUUGUGGAUAUCAUGCACGAGGCUCCGCUGUUCGGCCACCGGAAGUCGAGGAACCUCUUCGGAAGUGUUUUCUACUUAAUCAUACUCGCCGGUUACUCUGCCGUGGCCGUCGCGGCUCCGUGGAUAUUUCAGGCCAUAGACGAUUUGAUACCCCAAUUGCUCUGCAGCUGCAACGUCCUUCUUCUGGUAGUCACAGGCAUUUUUCAGCAGUAUCUGGUGUCCCAGGUUCAGAAAAUUCGCUUACAGGGUUAUUAUAGUUUCAGCCAGAAGUUGAAGCAUAUUGUUCGCGUACCUUUUGCAGUUACUUCAUAUGGAACUGCUGCAUUGUUACUUGUUAUGGUCUGGAGACCCAACAUCAGUUUCCUUACUCUCCCAGCAAUAUUGAGAUGACUUGAGAGGCAGCAUUCGAAACCCACGAGGAAAAUAACAUACAAAUCACACGAUGACUGUUGCUGCGGUCAUAGAUCCUGAACUAUGCUGAAACAACCACUUUUUAUUCAGGGAGAGGCCAACAGUGGUUUGGACCGUCUCCGGCAGAAGAAGAAAACCGAAGUUAAACAGUAGAAAGAGAUGAUUCUUCUUCAGUUCAUGGGGAUGAGUUGUUUAAUUUCUGAAAUAAAUUAUGUGAUGUUGAGGGUUUUUUCUUAUCCAGUUAGUACUGUAUGUUGCAAGUAGUUCCCAACCGUUUGGUGUUCUUGAGUUGGGCUGUUCUUUUGACGAUUUAGUGACGAUUUAGUAGUGAAACUUCUACCUCAUUGAGUACCUUAAUUAUAUUUCUGGGGUGUGAAUUGUCAAUGCGUAGAGUAGAAUAAUACGCGUAGAUUCCAAAUUCAUUCUGGAUAUGGUGUACCUUAGAGGAACGUUGCACGUCUUAAAGUUGGAAAAUGCAGUGAAUGCAGGGAAGACCAACUUGAAAGGGACAGAAAUAAUUCAGAAAGUGGUAUGUAUUUUUUUUAUUAUUAAUAUAUUUUCUGAUUGUUUUAUCCGACA